This 428-nucleotide ribosomal RNA is filed under the name Diamesus bimaculatus. RNAcentral describes it as "partial large subunit ribosomal RNA". It matches the Rfam family "Archaeal large subunit ribosomal RNA", at positions 2011 to 2636 of the family's 2987-position model. Lineage: Eukaryota; Metazoa; Arthropoda; Insecta; Coleoptera; Silphidae. The record is from RNAcentral.
CGGUACUUUGACCGUGCGAAGGUAGCAUAAUAAUUAGUUUUUUAAUUGAAAGCUGGAAUGAAUGGUCGAACGAGAAAAAUACUGUCUCAAGUUAAUUUUAAUUAGAAUUUUAUCUUUAAGUAAAAAAGCUUAAAUAAUUUUAAAAGACGAGAAGACCCUAUAGAGUUUUAUAAAUUUUAUUAUUUGAGGUAUUUAGAAUUUUAUAGCUUAAAAUAGUAAUAUUUAUUUUGUUGGGGUGACAGAAAAAUUUAUUAAACUUUUUUUUUAUAUAAAAACAUUAAUUUAUGAAUUAUUGAUCCAUUAAUUAUGAUUAUAAGAUUAAAUUACCUUAGGGAUAACAGCGUAAUUUUUUUUGAGAGUUCAAAUCGAAAAAGAAGUUUGCGACCUCGAUGUUGGAUUAAAAUUAAGUUUUGGUGUAGCAGCUAAAA